Molecule: long non-coding RNA, 1337 nt
Filed under: Equus asinus (donkey)
Lineage: Eukaryota; Metazoa; Chordata; Mammalia; Perissodactyla; Equidae
Description: lncRNA (ENSEASG00005029037.1)
Source: RNAcentral
CCACAUCUGCACGAACAGACAUUUAUUUCAGGAUGUUACAAGUUCGGCAUAAGAUGUAUUCAACAAAAAAUUCCAGCCUGGUCCAGCUGGGUCCAGGGCUCGCAGACUCUCAGCGGCUGAGCUGCCCGGCAGCAGGAGCCAGGAGGGGCUGGGGCGAGUCAACGCUUCCACACUGGAGAGGGAAGGCUGGUCCUGCCCAUCCUCCUCUGCUCUCUCACCGCGUGUCCCAGGGCCGGGAGGGCAGCGCUGUCCUGGGGCCAUCCUGAGGCCUUUUAGGGGCUCCUGCUCCACAGACUCCUCUGAGUGGGCUCGUCGGGCACAAGUCUGGGCUCCAUUUUUCUGACUGAAGGUCACAGGUGCCCACGGGGGCCUGCCUGAGAAGGCGGCCGACACAGGCACCUCGCCUCUCGCUGGACACAUGGGCCCAGGCAGACGGACGCAGGUGGAGAACCGCUGCCAGGCAGCCCCCAGGUGGGCGGUGAACACUGAGCCAUGAUGGCACCUCAACCCACCAGCUCCCAAAGGCCCCUGGGGCCCCUCCGCCGAUGUCCUGGAGAAGGCAGACACCCUAAAGCUGACCUGAGGCUGCAGGACUGAGCAGAACCAGCGCCUGUGAGCAUGGGAAGGGUGUCCCUGCGGCCAGGGCAGGCCCUUCAGUUGGACAGGCUGCACAGGGUGAGAGCAUACCGCUCAGCUUCUUUCCCCCAGAAAGCACCACUGGAUGGCUGGGGAAACUGAGGCAGUGGCCCCAAGGUCACGUGGCAGGGGUGGGGCCACCUUCCCCCAUUGCAGGCGGACACAUGCUGCUCUGACCCCAGACGUGUGUGAGUUGGUCUGUUCCCGGCACCCAGAGCAAGGCCAGGCCCUCGCAGCACAGGCUGAGGUCACUGAGCGAGCCCAUGGGGCCGAGGAGGAGCAGUCACAACCCUGCGAUGCAGAUGAGGGAACCGAGGCCCACCCAAGUUCUGCCCAGGGGUCUCCGUGCUGUGGACACAGCCCAGCCCACUCGCCUGUCACCCCGUCACAACCUUGGCCCUCAGGACCCUUACCCAGCACAGAGAAGACCCUGCGUCCAAAGCCAGCUGGCCUUCAGCCAACGCAUCCGCUGGCGUGACAAUGGCUGGAGGGACAGCCACCCCCUGAGGCGUGCUUGACUUUCCUGCACGACGUAAGCUCCCGUGACAGCCAUUCUGGGACCAGCGUGUGCUGCUGUUUCAGUAGUUUAAAAACUGGAUCUGUGUGCGUGUGGACACAGACACAGCACACAUUCCUUCUUUUCACUCCAAGCUGAUUCAAACAAUGGUGCUGCUUGUCCGGGACACCCUGGAAAUCCACAC